This is a small nucleolar RNA of Mastomys coucha (southern multimammate mouse), 130 nucleotides long. RefSeq annotates it as small nucleolar RNA SNORA17. The record is from RefSeq and is a predicted model, not a curated record. Lineage: Eukaryota; Metazoa; Chordata; Mammalia; Rodentia; Muridae. The transcript has a single exon.
CCUGUAGAGGCAUUGCAGGUGAGAUUGCUGUGUCACAUGUGUGUCAGUAGGUGACAGACAGGAAAGAGGCUUCAUCUCUAAGGUCAAUGUUCUGACCUAGAAACAUUUGAAUAAUUACUAUCCUAGUAUU